UACAGAGGGUGCUAGCGUUGUUCGGAAUUAUUGGGCGUAAAGGGCGCGUAGGCGGUUUCGCAUGUCCGAUGUGAAAGCCCACCUCUUAAAGGUGGAAUUGCAUCGGAAACUGCGAGACUAGAGUGCCGGAGAGGGUGGUGGAAUUCCUGGUGUAGAGGUGAAAUGCGCAGAUAUCUGGAGGAACACCGGUGGCGAAGGCGGCAUCCUGGACCGGCAUUGACGCUAAGGCGCGAAAGCCAGGGGAGCAAACGGG
This 253-nucleotide ribosomal RNA is filed under the name uncultured bacterium. RNAcentral's name for it is "partial 16S ribosomal RNA". It matches the Rfam family "Bacterial small subunit ribosomal RNA", at positions 524 to 776 of the family's 1533-position model. The record is from RNAcentral.